Molecule: ribosomal RNA, 440 nt
Filed under: uncultured bacterium
Lineage: Bacteria
Description: partial 16S ribosomal RNA
Rfam family: Bacterial small subunit ribosomal RNA
Source: RNAcentral
CCUACGGGAGGCAGCAGUAGGGAAUAUUGCUCAAUGGGGGAAACCCUGAAGCAGCAACGCCGCGUGGAGGAUGAAGGUUUUCGGAUUGUAAACUCCUUUUGUUAGAGAAGAUAAUGACGGUAUCUAACGAAUAAGCACCGGCUAACUCCGUGCCAGCAGCCGCGGUAAUACGGAGGGUGCAAGCGUUACUCGGAAUCACUGGGCGUAAAGAGCGCGUAGGCGGGAUAGCAAGUCAGAUGUGAAAUCCUAGGGCUUAACCAUAGAACUGCAUUUGAAACUGUUAUUCUAGAGUAUGGGAGAGGUAGGUGGAAUUCCUGGUGUAGGGGUAAAAUCCGUAGAGAUCAAGAGGAAUACUCAUGGCGAAGGCGACCUGCUAGAACAUAACUGACGCUGAUGCGCGAAAGCGUGGGGAGCAAACAGGAUUAGAUACCCGUGUAGUC